AGAUUGAACGCUGGCGGCAGGCCUAACACAUGCAAGUCGAGCGGUAGAGAGGUGCUUGCAUCUCUUGAGAGCGGCGGACGGGUGAGUAAUGCCUAGGAAUCUGCCUAGUGGUGGGGGAUAACGUUCGGAAACGGACGCUAAUACCGCAUACGUCCUACGGGAGAAAGCGGGGGACCUUCGGGCCUCGCGCCAUUAGAUGAGCCUAGGUCGGAUUAGCUAGUUGGUGAGGUAAUGGCUCACCAAGGCGACGAUCCGUAACUGGUCUGAGAGGAUGAUCAGUCACACUGGAACUGAGAC
Molecule: ribosomal RNA, 297 nt
Filed under: uncultured soil bacterium
Lineage: Bacteria
Description: partial 16S ribosomal RNA
Rfam family: Bacterial small subunit ribosomal RNA
Source: RNAcentral